Molecule: non-coding RNA, 72 nt
Organism: Stegodyphus mimosarum
Lineage: Eukaryota; Metazoa; Arthropoda; Arachnida; Araneae; Eresidae
Source: Rfam
GCCUUCGUGGUGUAGUGGUCAGCACGCUCGGCGCGUAUUCGAGAGGUCCGUGGUUCGAGUCCCGGCAAGGCA